UGCAGCCGGGGAGAUAGCGGUGCCCUGUACCUGCAAUCCGCUACAGCAGGGGUGAUGUCUAGCCUAGGGCAAUGUGUUGUAGAGCAGCCCUUAAUAAGUGGCGUUGACGUUUGGGUCUUACGCAACAGGAAUUUGUGAACCGUGUCAGGGCAGGAAUGCAGCAGCACUAAGCAAAACCUCUUGUGUGCCGUAAGGGAGCCUGGGCCGAGUUAACUGUUAAGGUAACGUCUAUGAGCAUUGUUCGAAGCAAGGCGCACGG
This 259-nucleotide signal recognition particle RNA is filed under the name uncultured Lachnoclostridium sp. Its description in RNAcentral is "Bacterial large signal recognition particle RNA". It matches the Rfam family "Bacterial large signal recognition particle RNA". From Rfam's summary of the family: The signal recognition particle (SRP) is a universally conserved ribonucleoprotein involved in the co-translational targeting of proteins to membranes. Archaeal SRP consists of a 7S RNA and homologues of the eukaryotic SRP19 and SRP54 proteins. Lineage: Bacteria; Bacillati; Bacillota; Clostridia; Lachnospirales; Lachnospiraceae. The record is from RNAcentral.